RNAcentral lists this ribosomal RNA (500 nucleotides) under uncultured bacterium. Its description in RNAcentral is "partial 16S ribosomal RNA". It matches the Rfam family "Bacterial small subunit ribosomal RNA", at positions 30 to 523 of the family's 1533-position model. The record is from RNAcentral.
AUUGAACGCUGGCGGCAUGCCUUACACAUGCAAGUCGAACGGCAGCACGGGAGCAAUCCUGGUGGCGAGUGGCGAACGGGUGAGUAAUAUAUCGGAACGUGCCCAGUCGUGGGGGAUAACGCAGCGAAAGCUGUGCUAAUACCGCAUACGAUCUAUGGAUGAAAGCGGGGGAUCGCAAGACCUCGCGCGAUUGGAGCGGCCGAUAUCAGAUUAGCUAGUUGGUGAGGUAAAGGCUCACCAAGGCGACGAUCUGUAGCUGGUCUGAGAGGACGACCAGCCACACUGGAACUGAGACACGGUCCAGACUCCUACGGGAGGCAGCAGUGGGGAAUUUUGGACAAUGGGCGAAAGCCUGAUCCAGCAAUGCCGCGUGCAGGAUGAAGGCCUUCGGGUUGUAAACUGCUUUUGUGCGGAACGGAACGGUGAGCUCUAAUACAGUUUGCUAAUGACGGUACCGUAAGAAUAAGCACCGGCUAACUACGUGCCAGCAGCCGCCGUAA